AGGGGGCAGCAGGGCCCGGGUCAGAGCCGGCCGGGGGCCUGCCUGGGGCAGCUCACAGCCUGCCCAGGAACCAGCCCAGCUCAGCCCGCUUGGUUGAGCCCAGGAGAUCUGCACGGGGGAAAGAAGGGGACAGCUCAGGGGAGGAGCAUCGAAAGGGCUCAGAGUCAGCGGGGUAAUCUGAGGAUGAGUCCUCCUGCAGAGGAGCGGAACACCAGACGCUCUGCAAAGCCCGCGGUGUCCGAGCCAGGCGGGGAGAGGGUCUCAGAGGUCUCCCCAGCUCCAGGGAUGAGGAGGGAGCUGGGUAUUCUGGCUACCCUAGGUCACCUGCUGGGAGGCCCUUUCCUUCGUGAGAACCAAGCUGACCUAUUCCGCCGGGAUAUGGAGGCCCAUGUGCUUCCCUGACAGCCAACCAUUCCGUGGAGGAGGGAGAGAGGCCCUAGCGUCCGCAGCCGGCUCCGAAGAGGAGGUAGAGCCAUGCUCGCAUAGCCACGCGUUGUGCUCUGUCGCCCCCUGGUGUCCUAUUUAGAAAUGAGCCGCAAUGUGGGGCUCUGACUUACCUUUCUU
This is a long non-coding RNA of Pan troglodytes (chimpanzee), 564 nucleotides long. RefSeq lists it as uncharacterized. Lineage: Eukaryota; Metazoa; Chordata; Mammalia; Primates; Hominidae. The record is from RefSeq and is a predicted model, not a curated record. The transcript has 3 exons.